GAACACCAGCUCUCCGAGUGGUGUGGAUGUUUAUUGGGCCUAAAGCAUCCGUAGCCGGUUCUACAAGUCUUCCGUUAAAUCCACCUGCUUAACAGAUGGGCUGCGGAAGAUACUAUAGAGCUAGGAGGCGGGAGAGGCAAGCGGUACUCGAUGGGUAGGGGUAAAAUCCGUUGAUCCAUUGAAGACCACCAGUGGCGAAGGCGG
This 204-nucleotide ribosomal RNA is filed under the name uncultured bacterium. Its description in RNAcentral is "partial 16S ribosomal RNA". It matches the Rfam family "Archaeal small subunit ribosomal RNA", at positions 471 to 675 of the family's 1478-position model. The record is from RNAcentral.